UACAGAGGGUGCAAGCGUUGUUCGGAAUUAUUGGGCGUAAAGCGCGUGUAGGCGGCUUUGCAAGUCGGGUGUGAAAUCCCCCAGCUUAACUGGGGAAGUGCGCUCGAAACUGCAGAGCUCGAGUACCGGAGAGGAUGGCGGAAUUCCCCAAGUAGAGGUGAAAUUCGUAGAUAUGGGGAGGAACACCGGUGGCGAAGGCGGCCAUCUGGACGGUAACUGACGCUGAGACGCGAAAGCGUGGGUAGCAAACAGG
RNAcentral lists this ribosomal RNA (253 nucleotides) under uncultured bacterium. RNAcentral's name for it is "partial 16S ribosomal RNA". It matches the Rfam family "Bacterial small subunit ribosomal RNA", at positions 524 to 776 of the family's 1533-position model. The record is from RNAcentral.